CCUACGGGUGGCAGCAGUGAGGAAUAUUGGUCAAUGGACGAGAGCCUGAACCAGCCAAGUAGCGUGAAGGAUGACUGCCCUAUGGGUUGUAAACUUCUUUUAUAUGGGAAUAAAAUGUUCCACGUGUGGGAUAUUGUAUGUACCAUAUGAAUAAGGAUCGACUAACUCCGUGCCAGCAGCCGCGGUAAGACGGAGGAUCCGAGCGUUAUCCGGAUUUAUUGGGUUUAAAGGGAGCGUAGGUGGAUUGUUAAGUCAGUUGUGAAAGUUUGGGGCUCAACCGUAGAAUUGCAGUUGAAACUGGCAGUCUUGAGUACAGUAGAGGUGGGCGGAAUUCGUGGUGUAGCGGUGAAAUGCUUAGAGAUCACGAAGAACUCCGAUUGCGAAGGCAGUUCACUGGACUGCAACUGACACUGAGGCUCGAAAGUGUGGGUAUCAAACAGGAUUAGAUACCCGUGUAGUC
Molecule: ribosomal RNA, 460 nt
Filed under: uncultured bacterium
Lineage: Bacteria
Description: partial 16S ribosomal RNA
Rfam family: Bacterial small subunit ribosomal RNA
Source: RNAcentral